RNAcentral lists this ribosomal RNA (255 nucleotides) under uncultured bacterium. RNAcentral describes it as "partial 16S ribosomal RNA". It matches the Rfam family "Bacterial small subunit ribosomal RNA", at positions 524 to 776 of the family's 1533-position model. The record is from RNAcentral.
UACGAAGGGGGCUAGCGUUGUUCGGAUUUACUGGGCGUAAAGCGCACGUAGGCGGCUUGUUAAGUCAGGGGUGAAAUCCCAGAGCUCAACUCUGGAACUGCCUUUGAUACUGGCAAGCUAGAGUCCGGAAGAGGUAAGUGGAACUCCUAGUGUAGAGGUGGAAUUCGUAGAUAUUAGGAAGAACACCAGUGGCGAAGGCGGCUUACUGGUCCGGAACUGACGCUGGAGGUGCGAAAGCCGUGGGGAGCAAACAGG